Molecule: ribosomal RNA, 1287 nt
Filed under: Curtobacterium sp.
Lineage: Bacteria; Bacillati; Actinomycetota; Actinomycetes; Micrococcales; Microbacteriaceae
Description: partial 16S ribosomal RNA
Rfam family: Bacterial small subunit ribosomal RNA
Source: RNAcentral
GAGUAACCUGCCCCUGACUCUGGGAUAAGCGUUGGAAACGACGUCUNAUACUGGAUAUGACUGCCGGCCGCAUGGNUCUGGUGGNGGAAAGAUUUUUUGGUUGGGGAUGGACUCGCGGCCUAUCANCUUGUUGGUGAGGUAAUGGCUCACCAAGGCNACNACNGGUAGCCGGCCUGAGAGGGUGACCNGCCACACUGGGACUGAGACACNGCCCACACUCCUACGGGAGGCAGCAGUGGGGAAUAUUGCACAAUGGGCGAAAGCCUGAUGCNNCNNCGCCGCGUGAGGGAUGACGGCCUUCGGGUUGUAAACCUCUUUUAGUAGGGAAGAAGGGAGCUUGCUCUUGACGGUACCUGCAGAAAAAGCACCGGCUAACUACGUGCCAGCAGCCGCGGUAAUACGUAGGGUGCAAGNCGUUGUCCGGAAWUAUUNGGGCGUAAAGAGGCUCGUANGGCGGNUUUGUCGCGUCUGCUGUGAAAUCCCGAGGCUCAACCUCGGGCUUGCAGUGGGUACGGGCAGACUAGAGUGCGGUAGGGGAGAUUGGAAUUCCUGGUGUAGCGGUGGAAUGCGCAGAUAUCAGGAGGAACACCGAUGGCGAAGGCAGAUCUCUGGGCCGUAACUGACGCUGAGGAGCGAAAGCAUGGGGAGCGAACAGGAUUAGAUACCCUGGUAGUCCAUGCCGUAAACGUUGGGCGCUANGAUGUANGGGACCUNUUCCACGGUUUCUGUGUCGUAGCUAACGCAUUAAGCGNCCCCGCCUGGGGANGUACGGCCGCAAGGCUAAAACUNCAAAGGAAUUGACGGGGGCCCNGCACAAGCGGCGGNAGCAUUGCGGAUUAAUUCGAUGCAACNNNGAAGAACCUUANCNAAGGCUUGMCAUACNCCGGNAAACGGCCAGAGAUGGUCGCCCCCUUGUGGUCGGUGUACAGGUGGUGCAUGGUUGUCGUCAGCUCGUGUCGUGAGAUGUUGGGUUAAGUCCCGCAACGAGCGCAACCCUCGUUNUAUGUUGCCAGCGCGUUAUGGCGGGGACUCAUAGGAGACUGCCGGGGUCAACUCGGAGGAAGGUGGGGAUGACGUCAAAUCNUCAUGCCCCUUAUGUCUUGGGCUUCACGCAUGCUACAAUGGCCGGUACAAAGGGCUGCGAUACCGUAAGGUGGAGCGAAUCCCAAAAAACCGGUNUCAGUUCGGANUGAGGUNUGCAACUCGACCUCAUGAAGUCGGAGUCGCUAGUAAUNGCAGAUCAGCAACGCUGCGGUGAAUACGUUCCCGGGCCUUGUACACACCGCC